RNAcentral lists this unclassified non-coding RNA (348 nucleotides) under soil metagenome. RNAcentral's name for it is "partial contains 5.8S ribosomal RNA, internal transcribed spacer 2, and large subunit ribosomal RNA". The stretch from base 1 to 120 matches the Rfam family "5.8S ribosomal RNA", at positions 35 to 154 of the family's 154-position model. The record is from RNAcentral.
GAUGAAGAACGUAGCGAAAUGCGAUAAGUAAUGUGAAUUGCAGAAUUCAGUGAAUCAUCGAAUCUUUGAACGCACAUUGCGCCCGCCAGUAUUCUGGCGGACAUGCCUGUCUGAGCGUCAUUUCAACCCUCAUGCCCCUAGGGCGUGGUGUUGGGGAUCGGCCAAAGCCCGCGAGGGACGGCCGGCCCCUAAAUCUAGUGGCGGACCCGUCGUGGCCUCCUCUGCGAAGUAGUGAUAUUCCGCAUCGGAGAGCGAUGAGCCCCUGCCGUUAAACCCCCAACUUUCCAAGGUUGACCUCAGAUCAGGAAGGAAUACCCGCUGAACUUAAGCAUAUCAAUAAGCGGAGGA